RNAcentral lists this unclassified non-coding RNA (264 nucleotides) under fungal sp. RNAcentral's name for it is "partial internal transcribed spacer region". The stretch from base 1 to 46 matches the Rfam family "Eukaryotic small subunit ribosomal RNA", at positions 1786 to 1831 of the family's 1831-position model. The record is from RNAcentral. Lineage: Eukaryota; Fungi.
AAGUCGUAACAAGGUUUCCGUAGGUGAACCUGCGGAAGGAUCAUUAACAAAUUAUCCAACUCUACCUUUGUGAACUGUUAUCAUUUCUUGGUGAGCACUGGGCUCGAUGCUUAGCUUGCUUAGCUUGCUUAGCUCACUAGGCUUAACUUAACUGUUAGGUCUAGGUCGGGUCCGACUCACCGCUUAUAUUUACGUUAGCUUAAUUUUUUACUAAAGUUUUAAACAAAACUAAGACAACUUUUAGCAACGGAUCUCUAGGCUCUU